This 369-nucleotide ribosomal RNA is filed under the name uncultured Psychrobacter sp. RNAcentral's name for it is "bacterial SSU rRNA". It matches the Rfam family "Bacterial small subunit ribosomal RNA", at positions 446 to 813 of the family's 1533-position model. Lineage: Bacteria; Pseudomonadati; Pseudomonadota; Gammaproteobacteria; Moraxellales; Moraxellaceae. The record is from RNAcentral.
CCUAACGGUUAAUACCCGUUAGCGAUGACAUUAGCUGCAGAAUAAGCACCGGCUAACUCUGUGCCAGCAGCCGCGGUAAUACAGAGGGUGCAAGCGUUAAUCGGAAUUACUGGGCGUAAAGCGAGCGUAGGUGGCUUGAUAAGUCAGAUGUGAAAUCCCCGGGCUUAACCUGGGAACUGCAUCUGAAACUGUUAGGCUAGAGUAGGUGAGAGGGAAGUAGAAUUUCAGGUGUAGCGGUGAAAUGCGUAGAGAUCUGAAGGAAUACCGAUGGCGAAGGCAGCCUCCUGGCAUCAUACUGACACUGAGGUUCGAAAGCGUGGGUAGCAAACAGGAUUAGAUACCCUGGUAGUCCACGCCGUAAACGAUGUC